RNAcentral lists this ribosomal RNA (301 nucleotides) under uncultured bacterium. RNAcentral describes it as "partial 16S ribosomal RNA". It matches the Rfam family "Bacterial small subunit ribosomal RNA", at positions 509 to 809 of the family's 1533-position model. The record is from RNAcentral.
CAGUCGCCGCGGUAAAACGGAGGGUGCAAGCGUUAUCCGGAUUUAUUGGGUUUAAAGGGUCCGUAGGCGGAUCUGUAAGUCAGUGGUGAAAUCUCACAGCUUAACUGUGAAACUGCCAUUGAUACUGCAGGUCUUGAGUAAAUUUGAAGUGGCUGGAAUAAGUAGUGUAGCGGUGAAAUGCAUAGAUAUUACUUAGAACACCAAUUGCGAAGGCAGGUCACUAAGAUUUAACUGACGCUGAUGGACGAAAGCGUGGGGAGCGAACAGGAUUAGAUACCCCUGUAGUCCCUGUCUCUUUUAU